Molecule: ribosomal RNA, 435 nt
Filed under: uncultured bacterium
Lineage: Bacteria
Description: partial 16S ribosomal RNA
Rfam family: Bacterial small subunit ribosomal RNA
Source: RNAcentral
AACGAACGCUGGCGGCAGGCCUAACACAUGCCAGUCGAGCGGACAUCUUCGGAUGUUAGCGGCGGACGGGUGAGUAACGCGUGGGAACGUGCCCUUUGCUUCGGAAUAGCCUCGGGAAACUUGGAGUAAUACCGGCUGUACCCUUUGGGGGAAAGAUUUAUCGGCAAAGGAUCGGCCCGCGUUGGAUUAGGUAGUUGGUGGGGUAAUGGCCUACCACGCCGACGAUCCAUAGCUGGUUUGAGAGGAUGAUCAGCCACACUGGGACUGAGACACGGCCCAGACUCCUACGGGAGGCAGCAGUGGGGAAUCUUAGACAAUGGGGGAAACCCUGAUGUAGCCAUGCCGCGUGAGCGAUGAAGGCCUUAGGGUUGUAAAGCUCUUUCACCGGGGAAGAUAAUGACGGUACCCGGAGAAGAAGCCCCGGCUAACUCCGUG